This is a ribosomal RNA of 866 nucleotides. It matches the Rfam family "Eukaryotic large subunit ribosomal RNA", at positions 56 to 941 of the family's 3401-position model.
UCGGAGAGACCACAGGGAUUGCCCUAGUAACGGCGAGUGAAGCGGCAACAGCUCAAAUUUGAAAUCUGGCGUCUUUGGCGUCCGAGUUGUAAUUUGCAGAGGGCGCUUUGGCAUUGGCAGCGGUCCAAGUUCCUUGGAACAGGACGUCACAGAGGGUGAGAAUCCCGUACGUGGUCGCUAGCCUUUACCGUGUAAAGCCCCUUCGACGAGUCGAGUUGUUUGGGAAUGCAGCUCUAAAUGGGAGGUAAAUUUCUUCUAAAGCUAAAUACUGGCCAGAGACCGAUAGCGCACAAGUAGAGUGAUCGAAAGAUGAAAAGCACUUUGGAAAGAGAGUUAAAAAGCACGUGAAAUUGUUGAAAGGGAAGCGCUUGCAGCCAGACUUGCCUGUAGUUGCUCAUCCGGGUUUUUACCCGGUGCACUCUUCUACGGGCAGGCCAGCAUCAGUUUGGGCGGUUGGAUAAAGGUCUCUGUCAUGUACCUCCUCUCGGGGAGAUCUUAUAGGGGAGACGACAUGCAACCAGCCUGGACUGAGGUCCGCGCAUCUGCUAGGAUGCUGGCGUAAUGGCUGUAAGCGGCCCGUCUUGAAACACGGACCAAGGAGUCUAACAUCUAUGCGAGUGUUUGGGUGUCAAGCCCGAACGCGUAAUGAAAGUGAACGGAGGUGGGAACCUUUCGGGGUGCACCAUCGACCGAUCCUGAUGUCUUCGGAUGGAUUUGAGUAAGAGCAUAGCUGUUGGGACCCGAAAGAUGGUGAACUAUGCUUGAAUAGGGUGAAGCCAGAGGAAACUCUGGUGGAGGCUCGCAGCGGUUCUGACGUGCAAAUCGAUCGUCAAAUUUGGGCAUAGGGGCGAAAGACUAAUCGAACU